AGGCCCCUCCAUCUGAACUUCCAGCUUAGUUUUCUGAGCAUGGAGGCUGAGGAACUCAAGUGAGUGGGUGUUCGCAGCCUGGCAGCACAUUGGAAUCACCUGGGGUGCUUUGAAAACUACAGCUGUUCGGGCCAGCACAGGCUAAUUAAAUUAGCAUUUUGAGGGAGGGGGUGCCCUGAUGACAGCAUGUUUCAAAGCCUCUUCAGGUGAUCAUAGUCGGCAUCAGGGUGAAGAGCCAUUGGCCUACGGCAGUGGUCCUCAGUCACCUGGUGAGCUUGUUAAACCACAGUUUGCGGGGCCCCAUCCCACACUUUCUCAUUCAACGGGUCGGGGGUGGGGUGGAGUCUGAGAAUCUGCAUUUCUACCCAGCAACCAGGUGCUGCUGCUCCUGGGCUCCCACUGAGGACCACUGGCUCAGCCCAAGUCUCCUUCAAAGCUAGUGCCAGUGAGCCCAGGUUUGGGAUCCCUCCCAGCCUUGGAUCCUGGCGUGGCAGAUCCAGCAUCUGGUUCUAGCUCUGCUACCAUCCAAUCCUGGACUGCUCACAUCCUUCUCUGGGCCUCGGACAACACUCUCUCUCAAGUGCCUUUUAAGCUCUCAGAAUCUUUGAUUAUGAAUUGUAAGUGGGAUGAAGCAGCAUUUCCAGCUGAUGAACAGACCCACAGGUCACAGGAUGUCUCCUAAAGUAAGCUUGUGGCAGGCAACUGCAGCAAUGAGGAAACUGUUGACCAGGGACAACCGGGAAUACUCAUCUCAGUACAGGCGGGAAUCUGUUCUUCAGAAAGUCAUGGAUCAGCUUCCGGGUAUAAGAGGGAGCCGGGGUCCAGCCCCAAGCGAUUUAGCUGGUACAGCGAAAAGAGGAGAGUCGUCGGCAUGAGACCUAGUUUAAAAUCCCAUCUCCGCCACGUUUUGGCUGCCACUGCUGUUCACACCUGUAACAGGUGAUUGACCAUCUGUACUUGCCGGGGUUUUUGUGUGGCUUUGGUGAGAGUCGAUGCUGGGCAUCCCUUGGGAGCUCCACGAAUAUUUUAGUCCUGCCUGUUGGGAUUCCUCUCUCAGAGACCUCGGACGAUCUCAAGGUCUUCCCUGUGCCAUUCGGGACUGGGUUAAAACAGUUUGGAGAGCAUAUGUUGGCUGGGACAGGCAGCCAGCCCCCUUGAUGGAGAACAGAUGACUGCCCCUCGAACACCUGGAGAUAAAGCCCCAAACCUUUGGCUGCAGAACCUCAGAACAAGCACGCUGCUCUGCCGGCAGCCGGGCUCUGGGUUUUGGCCAGUCUCAAUCAGUAAAGAAAAGGUCAGAAGCCCUCAGGAUCAAAGUCAGCCACUCCACAGACCUCCCUGGCAGGUUUGUCCUCGGAUUGUUUCACAUCUUAGAGCUUUUGAUCUUCAUUUCUUCCCGAGCCUGCAACUGGGAGCAUGGAUGUCUGCAGGCUGUUGGAGGGUGAGGGGCUAAAGCUCUUCUCUCACCCACUCUGCCUCUCCCUGCCAGCUUUGAGCAGCAGCAGACAGCGUGACAAAUGGCUCAUCAGCAUGUGUCCCUGUCAAUGUAGCCAUUCUGCUACGGCUGGACACCUAUGUGGCUUCAGUCAUAAGUAACAUUGUGAUGACCACUGCAAGAGACCCCAGAAACCAUUGAGGGAAGUUGGCAAAGACAGUGGCCGUGCUCGCUCCACAGAUGAGAUUUCCCAGGAAGGAAAGUUGAGCAAUUUAAAGCAAAACUGAAAACAUUGAAGGAAGUCUUCCUCAUCAGUAUCUCUCAUCCUUCCUUGCCUUAGCAAACAGACCACACUGAUGAGACCCUUUCUCAUGCAUCAGAGUCUAUAUCAGAGCCACCAUUUUUGCCCUACAUUGCUGUGAUUGCUGGAGCCUUUGAUAUGAAAGCUACUUCUGGAGUCGGGGCCAGCGGUUGAGAAGCCAGCAAAAUCUCCUGACGUCCCUCAAGAAGGUCACCACCUCCUCGUGCCUCACAUGCUUCAACAGGAGACAGAGAUAAAUUUCAGCUCUGGCUGAGUGUCAGCAUCCUUACAGAGACCAGAGAGGGGCAGUCUGCGGUGCGGGCAGCUUCUUUAGUUAUUUUGGUGAUUAUAUUUUCAGUUCAGUAAAUUGACUUGUUCUAUUUGGUUCUUUUCCAAAUCUGCCGUGUCACUGUUUAUAAGGUCUAGUUCUUUGCCAGUUUUUUCAAGUCUGACUUUUACCUCUUUGAACACAGUAGGUAUAGUUAGUUCAUGGUCCUCUACCCAGAGUGCCUGUUGAUUUGUAUCUCUUCUCUGUUUUUUCCUACCCGUUUUCACUCAUGGGGUCUUGUCUCCUGUCUGCUUGGUUGUCUCUGAGUAUCGGCUACUGUGUUUGAAAAAUUAUUUGUAGGAAUAAUUGGAGGCAUAGAAUGACGCUGUCUUCCUCUAAGGAGGAUUUUAAAUUUCUUUUGCAGUUGGCUGGGAGCUCUAGAAUCUGAGAUAAGCUUGACCCAAGGGAGGUCCCUGGGCUCCUCAAAAGCCUCGAAGCAGGUGGCAGUCCUUGCAACAGCCACUUUGCUUCUGGUCCACCCCAAACCAGGAGAUGGAGCCCUGCAGGCUUUGUGAUUUUUUUUCUACCUUUUUUCCCCUGAACUUUCUAAAAUGUCUAUAUAAUGAUCUUAGAAUAUUGUUUUAAAUUAGAAUAAAUAAUCAUGCAAACAAAGAAAUGUUAAGGGAGAGAUCGUUCAGUCUCUGCGUGUCUGCGUGUGAAAGUGCCCAAUUCUAGAGGAGAGGACGGUCAUCUGAAGGUCGGUAGAUACAGGGGUGGAUCAGCACUUGCCUGAAGAAGGCAAAGAUGCUACAGGAGGCCCAUGUCUACUUGAACCCAGAACAGAAACCACAGAGGUUGCAGCUCCCUCCUCCCAGUUGGUGACCUCAAGGCCUCCAGGAAAUUAUGUAUAAGGGAUGUGAGUCUCUCCCCUCCUCCUCCCCACAAAGUCCCACAAACAGCAGACAUCUCUACUCAAUCACAGCACUUGAUUUUGAUCUUCCCCAUGUUAGCAAAACUUUAAAAAAUUAUUUUCCAGCAAAUGACCAGAUAAUAUGCAAUGCUUUGAAUGCACCAUGAUUUAUCUGAUCAUUACAAUGGUGGGUAUUUAGGCUGUUUACAUUUCCCCCUUGUUAGGAAAUAUUUGUAAUGAACAUCUUUGUGCCUAGCUCUUUGCCAACAUUUUGAAUUAUUUCUUUGGAGAUAGAUUCCUAACAAUGGGUAAAGGAUGUGAACAUCUGUCAGGUUUUUGAUAUCUAUUGCCAAAUUACUUUCUAGAAAAU
RNAcentral lists this long non-coding RNA (3284 nucleotides) under Equus asinus (donkey). RNAcentral describes it as "lncRNA (ENSEASG00005038331.1)". Lineage: Eukaryota; Metazoa; Chordata; Mammalia; Perissodactyla; Equidae. The record is from RNAcentral.